GCCCUUGUAGCUCAAUCGGCAGAGCAACUGACUCUUAAUCAGUAGGUUCUAGGUUCGAUUCCUAGCGGGGGCAC
RNAcentral lists this transfer RNA (74 nucleotides) under Gimesia maris. RNAcentral's name for it is "tRNA-Lys". It matches the Rfam family "tRNA". Rfam says of the family: Transfer RNA (tRNA) molecules are approximately 80 nucleotides in length. The record is from RNAcentral. Lineage: Bacteria; Pseudomonadati; Planctomycetota; Planctomycetia; Planctomycetales; Planctomycetaceae. RNAcentral also lists the same sequence under 1 other name.